AAAGUUUUGUCUUGCGGCGACGACGCUGGCAAGUCUGUGCCAAGCUGCCAGGAUACCUCUAGGCGCUCCUGAAUUUCCUUAUUUCUACUCUAUACAUCAUGGCUAUGGCGCCACAAGCUAUCAAAAUGUGCAGAACAAGACGACCAUGAGUCUUCGGUGUAUGAUGAGAUUCCUGAAAUUGAUGAACAUCAACAUUUGGAACAAAUAAUUACUGUGGAAAACGAUCAUCACCAAGAACCGUCUUUGGAUACUGAUCAUCCC
Long non-coding RNA from Phymastichus coffea, 261 nucleotides. RefSeq lists it as uncharacterized. NCBI's taxonomy places the organism in Eukaryota, Metazoa, Arthropoda, Insecta, Hymenoptera, Eulophidae. The record is from RefSeq and is a predicted model, not a curated record. The transcript has 3 exons.